GCCUACGGGAGGCAGCAGUGAGGAAUAUUGGUCAAUGGGCUUACGCCUGAACCAGCCAAGUCGCGUGAGGGAAGACUGCCCUAUGGGUUGUAAACCUCUUUUGUCAGGGAGCAACGCCGGCUACGUGUAGCCGGACGGAGAGUACCUGAAGAAAAAGCAUCGGCUAACUCCGUGCCAGCAGCCGCGGUAAUACGUAGGGGGCGAGCGUUAUCCGGAUUCAUUGGGCGUAAAGCGCGCGUAGGCGGCCUGUUAGGUCGGGGGUCAAAUACCGGGGCUCAACCCCGGUCCGCCCCC
This 294-nucleotide ribosomal RNA is filed under the name uncultured bacterium. Its description in RNAcentral is "partial 16S ribosomal RNA". It matches the Rfam family "Bacterial small subunit ribosomal RNA", at positions 337 to 627 of the family's 1533-position model. The record is from RNAcentral.